GUUCGUUGUCACAAAUGACAGGUUACUGUUGUCGUUGACAAUAAUAAUGUGGGUGAGCACAUUGGCACAGGACUAGCUAGCUAGCGGCAGCUUGCUUGCUUGCUCGCUAGCUAGUCUUGAUGUUUACGCUUGCUUGUUUGACAAAGUUAUCAUGCAUGUGACCUAAAUAUAGACAACUUUUAACAAUGGAUCUCUUGGCUCUUGCAACGAUGAAGAACGCAGUAAAGUGCGAUAUGUAGUGCGAUUUGCAUGAAUCUGUGAGUCAUCUAAUCUUUGAACGCAACUUGCGCCUCUUUGAGGCAUGUCUGUUUGAGUGCCGCAUACCUAUAUGCAGCAAUGCGAUUUGACUCGUGUCUCCGGACUGCAGUCUAAACGUAGCCAGAUGGUGGCCAGUGUCCCACUAGUCCGAGUGCUAAGCAUUCUUGGCUCUAGUGGCGCUGGCUGCUUCAACACUUUAUUAUUUGGCCUCAAAUCAGGCAAGACUACCCGCUGAACUUAAGCAUAUCAAU
Molecule: ribosomal RNA, 509 nt
Filed under: uncultured fungus
Lineage: Eukaryota; Fungi
Description: eukaryotic LSU rRNA
Rfam family: 5.8S ribosomal RNA (bases 175-319)
Source: RNAcentral